RNAcentral lists this ribosomal RNA (253 nucleotides) under uncultured bacterium. Its description in RNAcentral is "partial 16S ribosomal RNA". It matches the Rfam family "Bacterial small subunit ribosomal RNA", at positions 524 to 776 of the family's 1533-position model. The record is from RNAcentral.
UACGUAGGUGGCGAGCGUUGUCCGGAUUUACUGGGCGUAAAGGGAGCGUAGGCGGACUUUUAAGUGAGAUGUGAAAUACUCGGGCUCAACUUGAGUGCUGCAUUUCAAACUGGAAGUCUAGAGUGCAGGAGAGGAGAAUGGAAUUCCUAGUGUAGCGGUGAAAUGCGUAGAGAUUAGGAAGAACGCCAGUGGCGAAGGCGAUUCUCUGGACUGUAACUGACGCUGAGGCUCGAAAGCGUGGGGAGCAAAUAGG